ACUGAAAUAGUUCAUUUGGGAAAGCAUUAGACUGAAAAUCAAAAGGUCCCUGGUUCAAUCCUGGUUUUUGGCA
Gymnothorax javanicus (giant moray) is the source of this 73-nucleotide non-coding RNA. The record is from the annotation of a GenBank genome assembly. NCBI's taxonomy places the organism in Eukaryota, Metazoa, Chordata, Actinopteri, Anguilliformes, Muraenidae.